Long non-coding RNA from Xiphophorus hellerii (green swordtail), 323 nucleotides. RefSeq lists it as uncharacterized. The record is from RefSeq and is a predicted model, not a curated record. Lineage: Eukaryota; Metazoa; Chordata; Actinopteri; Cyprinodontiformes; Poeciliidae. The transcript has 3 exons.
GGUAGAGACUUUUUUUUUAAUGGCCACUCAGACAUUUCACCAGCCACUGUUUUUUUCUUUCAAUUACAAACCCCACCAGUACAAGAAAAUAACAUAAAAUACAGAAUUUAUUCUUAACUCUAUGAAAACCAAUUUACUGACAGUAAGUUUACCGUACAUAUGUACGUAUUCAAACUAAUUUAACAUAACAAAGCAUGGAUACCUUAACAGAGGUGUAGAGCAAUAAGUUCACUUGAAGUAAUUACUAACAGCAAAUUUAACUACACAACCAAAACAUUCUUGCAAUCAUUUCCUAUGUUGAACAUUUCCACAGUUUGACUACA